Long non-coding RNA from Mustela lutreola (European mink), 3127 nucleotides. RefSeq lists it as uncharacterized. Lineage: Eukaryota; Metazoa; Chordata; Mammalia; Carnivora; Mustelidae. The transcript has 7 exons. The record is from RefSeq and is a predicted model, not a curated record.
GAGAAGAAAAACUUCUUACUCAGAAAUGGGUGAUCUGAAUUUGAGUUGAAAAUCUGCUACUCCUUAACUCUGUAUCCAAGUUUCUACUGGAGCUCCAAGAGCAUCGGUAUCAUCUGUGAAGGAAUCUGAUGCCAAGAGGACUGAACUCCACUUUCUGCGGCUGCUGCCAUGGCCGCCACCACCAGGGCCGAGGAACUGAGUCUUUGAACAACCAGUGGCCACCCGGCCUCGGCCAUUUAAGAGAGAGAGAUCACAAGCAGGCAGAGAGACAAGCAGAGAGAGAGGGGGAAGCAGGCUCCCCGCGGAGCAGAGAGCUGGACACAGGGCUGGAUCCCAGGACCCCGAGAGCAUGACCUGAGCCGAAGGCAGAGGCCCAGCCCACUGAGUCACCCAGGCGCCCUGAGAAGAAAUGUUUUUAAAAAGCACAAAGGCAGAAUAGCCUAGACUCAGUGGACCUCUCUUGUCAGCUUCAACAUUUGCCAGCCAUAGUCAUUCAACUCCAAGAUCUCAGCUCUAUGCCACAGUAGCUAUAAAAAGUGAGGGAUGAGCCUAUUGGUCUGCUGAGCGGAACAGCCAACAGAACAUCAAAGAGCCGUGCUCAAGGGAUGUUUGCGGCUAAGGAGGCUCCGCGGGGCACUGCUUGAAGGACAUGAAGUCCAUCCAUCUCUCCAGAUGGAAAACCCAGACCGGAAACACAAGAUGGCACAAAUCUUUCCAGUCUGUAAGUGAAGGUAAAAGGGCUCCCAGGUCAGGGUCACGUGACUUCUCCAGACCCGAAGCUCAUGGAACAGGGAAGCUUUCAUGGGAGGGAGGUUAUGCACGCAAAAUCCCCCUGGAGGGUGGCCAGCCCACCGCUAGUGUCGCUGAGCCUUGCCACAAUUUGUUACGGGUUUUCACCAUUGAUACUGAAAGGACUUUAGUGGUAUUUCCUCACUUUCCACAUUUUCUCAAUACGUAGAUUGUCUAAACGUACAAGUGCUAAUGCUUCUGUCAGUCGGUGUUAUCUAGUUGCUCCAAGCAGCUUUCCUAGUUCAUUAUCAGCAGUGUAUCUGAUGUCAUACACCACGAAGCUUCUGAAGCCUGGUAACGUAUCCAUCCGUAAAUCGAGAACCUGGAGCGGGGGAGGGGGGUGUUAUUCAGAAGAGAGAAGGAAUUGUGACCGUUCAGCAGAAUGUUGAUUACAAGUUUAAUUCAAGUUACAUGCAUUGGUGAUUCAGUCCUACAAAACAAGGUGUUUAGGUUAUUAGAUGCCUAAGUGACCUUCUCUUUCCCUGUUUAUGUUAAUAGAUAGUGUCUCUGACGCAGAGUGUUAUUAGAUAGUUUUGCUCAGUUUUCAGAAAAGACCGUGAAUACACAAAUCAGCAGAGGCCAGAUCCUAUGCCCUUCAUAAUGACUAGCGACCAACAAAUCCAUCAUGAAUCUAUUAAAACCGUAUGCCCUGGGAGCAUUACUAGCAAAUUUCACAGUCUGAAUUCUUACCAAGGUGGGAAAUUUUAUGGAUUUCGCUGUUAACAUAAUAUGCAACCUGAUAGUCACGUGAAAAUGUAAUCACGAGCUAUAGUUUUCUUGUUAUUAACUCAAAUUAGGAUAUUGUAUCUAUUUUACUAGAUUUCAAAAAAUCUAAAACUGUUGCAUCUGUAGUUUUAGAUAUAUUUAUAUGUUAUAGUUGGCCUUAAACACUAGUUAAAUUUUAUAGUUAAUGUCUUACUACAGCUGUAGGGGGCUGUUCAUGCAUACUAAGCCUGGUUUGUGGUACUACGAGUAUCUUUGUAAAAAUGACUUACAAAGAAUGAUUCUAUUAUAAAAAUAUAGCUAUUAUUGCUAUACUCCGAAGUCUCUACAGAAAAUGAAAAUAAAGGUACUUGAUAAAGCUUUAUUAUCGCUGGCUAUUUGCUGAUUAAGCCUAGAACUGACUUGUCUCAUUGUCAUCCAUCAUUAUUUACUUGGUAUCUAGACACCUUAAAAAAAGAAAGAAAGAAAGAAAGAAAGAUGGUCCAAGUAUAGGAGCCUGGUGGAAAUUUUUAUUUGACUACAUUUCAGAUGAUAUAAUCCGUAGUCUUGAUCACGAGACCCAUGUUUUAAUAACCUGACCUGAAAGAAUAUUUAGGUGAGGGCAAGAGGUUCCUGAAAUGUGUAUCACCUUACGGGUCCAAGGGGUGUUUUUCACCUCACUGUGCAUUCUGAGUCAUAGUGGGGGGUGUGCCACAGUGACAAAAAGAAAGAGAAUAGGAACCGUUCACUUCAGAGAGCGUUGCCAUUAGCAGGGUGAGUGCCCUUGGAGACUUUGUUGCCCCGACUGGGUCUGCUGGCCCUAGAUCCCUUCUUCACUCUUCUGCUGGACUCUCUGGGGCCAGUGGGACUGACUCUGUGGGGCUGCAUUUCCCGGGCGCCUGGAUCUGCUGCAGUCAGCCCCUGGGAGGCACCAGCAGGAGACAGGACAGCUGGAGGAUUGGAAGGAAGGGCAAGACAGGGUCUCUUCUCUUUCUGCCUCUGGUUGCUUCUCCAGCAACAGCUGUACCCCCGCAGUGGUUCUGAGAACCGUCAUGGGUUCCCCUCGCUCUAGGAGACCGUGGUCUCUGGGUUCUGAGUUCUGCCUUGUCCUUUAGCUCCCUCAGCUUCGAGGUGAGUGUGACUUCUUACUCUUGGUACUCUCAGUUCCAUAUCUGACUUCUCAGCUCUUCCCUCGCCUGUGUAAUCAAUUUCCUGAAUUAAAUUCCUCCAUUUCCCUAGCUGGACCCUGACUGGCACAAUUCACUAUAUACCUAAGUAUUUGUGUAUCGGGUCAUGAUGGAGAAUACAUUCUGUGCGGAGAGGAGUUGUUAGAGCAAUUUGAAAGCCACUGUCUAUGAAAAUGAAUCUGACAGCAAAGGGCGGACAGCGGUGGGCCCGAUUCUUCACUUGGGCGUUGAUGGCUGGUACUGAGCUGAAGACCGUGAACUUGGAGAUUCUUUUUCUCUCUUUUUUUUUUUUUUUUUAAGAUUUUAUUUAUUUAUUUGACAGAGAGAUCACAGUAGGAGAGAGGAAGGGAAGAGAUCACAGAGAGAGAGGAAGGGAAGCAGGCCCCCUGCUGAGCAGAGAGCCCAAUGUGGGACUCGAUCCCAGGACCCUGAGAUCAUGACCUGAGCCG